This is a long non-coding RNA of Marmota monax (woodchuck), 2042 nucleotides long. RefSeq lists it as uncharacterized. The record is from RefSeq and is a predicted model, not a curated record. The transcript is spliced from 3 exons. Lineage: Eukaryota; Metazoa; Chordata; Mammalia; Rodentia; Sciuridae.
UCUUCAUCUCACCACAGGGAGUCAAGGGAUUUCAACCCAUCCUGGGGACUCAGAUGCUAUCUGGCUCCACUCCUCCCCUGGGCCAGCAGAAGUCUGAGGUAGAGAUGCUGGAAGCCCAGCCUGAGGGUUUCCUUAGAUACUCUCAAGUCUUUGUUGAAGACCUAUGAAUGACACAAGAGAAGCUGGAACUUCACUGGGGACUGUGUUCUCACUGGUCGCUGAGGUCUCUGCAUCCUGCCUGACUUGACCCCAUUUCAUCUUUCCUCUUUCUCACCAUUGCCCAUGACAGCAGCCUUCCAUGAUAUACUCCUCAUAAUGCAGCCUGGAAAUCUUUCUAAAACCCAACUGUGAUCAUUUUUUCUCUCCCUUUAGAUUCAUUUGGUGGUCACACAGAGACCACAGGAGAGAGGAGAAACAGAGACCCACUUUCUGUGGUGAUUAACUUUAUGUGUCAACUUGGUCAUCAUACCCGGAAAGUCAGUCAGCCACCCGUCUAUAGUUAUUUCUGUAAAGGUAUUCUUUAGAUAUAAUUAACAUUUAUAUGAGCAGAUUGCCUUCCACAGUGCGCAUAGACUUCAUCUAAUCAGCUGAAGUCCUUAAGAGGAAAAGACUGAGGUCAACAACCACAUAAUGGAAUAUUGCUGAGCCCUAAAAAGAAAUAACUUGUCAAACCAUGAAAAGACAUCAAGGAAACUUACACACAUAUUUCUAAAAAAAAAAAAAAUAGGUCAAUUUGAAAAGGCUACAUAGUCUAUUGUCUUUGGGAAAAUUAAUACCAUGGAGAUGGUAGAAAUAUAAGUGUUUGCCAGGGUGUUUGGGACUGAGGUGGAUGACUAGGCAGAGUACAGAGGAUUUUUAGGGCAGUGAAUUGACUCCGUAUUAUACUACAAUGGUGGGUACAUGUCAUUAUACACUUAUUUAAAUCCAUAGAUAGUCCGACACUAGGAGUGACUCCUAAGGUAUAGUCUGAGUUAUAACAAUGUGCCCAUAUAUAUUCAUUGAUGGUAACAAAUGGACCACUCUGAUGGGGGGUGUUGAUAAUGGGGAUGCUGUGUAGGUGUGGGAGGAGGGACAUGUGGACAUUCUAUGUUUCUUCUGCUCAAUAUUGCUAUGAAACUAAAACUACUCUUAAAAAAUAAAGUUUUCAGUCAGUAUCUCUAAUCCCAGCAACUCAGAAGUCUGAGGCAGGAGGAUCACAAGUUUGAGGUCAGUCUGGGCAAGUUUGUGAGGCCCUGUCUCAAAGAAUAAAACAAAGGCUUAGGAUGUAGACUGGUGGUAAAGAACCCCUGGAUUUAACACAGUACUGCGAUAAAUCAAUAAAGUCUAAAAAAAAAAAAAAAUUCUGCCUCCCCAUGGGAUUUGGAUUUGUACCACAACAGCAGCUCUUCCCUGGGUCUCCAUUCUGUCAGCCUACUCUGCAGACAUUGUAUUUCUUCACCCUCACAAUCACAUAAACCUGAAAUAAGAGGCUUGGUGGAUCUCAAGCAAUUAAAACAUGGAAAAAGGCAACAUUUAAAAAUUAGCUUCCAAAUAAAUUGAUAUUUCUAUAAUAUGGAUCUUAAAGGUCCCCCCAAAGGCCCAUAUGUUAACAGUUUGGUCCCAGUGCGGUACUAUCGAGAGGUAGUGAGACCUACUGGGAGGUCUUUGGGUCAUUGGGGAUGUGCCCAUAAGGGGGAUAGUGAGACCCCAGCCUGCCCCUCUCUCUUGUGCUUCAGGCCGUGAGGUGAUCAGUUUUGUUCUAUCAUUCAGUUCCUCCAUGAUACGUUGUCUCACCAUGGACCCAAAGCCAUAGGCCCAAGUAAUCAUAGACAAGGAUCUCCCAAAUUGAGCCAAAUUAACCUUUUCUAAAUUGAUUACCCAAGGUAUUUGUUAUAGCAAAGGAAAGCUAAAUAACACAGAUAUUCAUGAAAAUAAAUGAAUCUGUCCUUGCUGGGUUUCAUCCAAAAACCCUCUACAUAAUUAGCACAUGGAUCAAGGUUUAGUAAACCUUUACCACAGAUGUCUUUUUUCUGUUUUAAUAAGCUCAUCUUCCUGAGAAUAGU